CCGAUGAGGUGGAAACGGACAGAGCUGGCGUAUCUGGCCUGCAUUCAGCCGCCGCGCGUCGGGCCCCGGUUUGCCGCACUCCAGAUUGGGAAGGUGGCUGGGCUGCUGGCGUGUCGGUGGUGCAUUUGCAGGUGGAGUGCGCCGAGGCGCUCGGCUCAGCGGCAUGAGCUCGGCUUUGAGGCCAACCGCGCAAGCGGUCUGGUACCCGGGUCGGGGGAGUGUUGUUUGGGCUGAGUGUUCGCUUGGGCACUGGUUUCGGGCCCGGGUGGGUGCCGAGCUGGCGGUGGACGGCGGUCGCGUGCGACACGUGUCUUCAGUCAGUUCGGUCCUGCUCGAGCUCUCGCGUGUCCGGCCUCGGUGUAAAAGCCGGUCAUCUGUCCGACCCGUCUUGAAACACGGACCAAGGAGUUUAGCGUGUGCGCGAGUCAUUGGGCGUUGAAAACCCAAAGGCGCAAUGAAAGUGAAGGUCUGCCUUGUGCAGCUGAUGUGUGAUCCUGGGCGCUGCGGUGCCCGGGCGCAACAUAGUCCCGUCCCGACUGCAUGCAGUGGGGCGGAGACAGAGCGUACGCGCUGAG
Molecule: ribosomal RNA, 575 nt
Filed under: Helicotylenchus pseudorobustus
Lineage: Eukaryota; Metazoa; Nematoda; Chromadorea; Rhabditida; Hoplolaimidae
Also listed under: 1 other name
Description: eukaryotic LSU rRNA
Rfam family: Eukaryotic large subunit ribosomal RNA (bases 400-575)
Source: RNAcentral